UAGAUUGAAGCCAGUUGUUUGGGGUAUUUAGCUGUUAACUAAUGUCUUGUAGGUUAAAAUCCUGCCGAUCUAG
This 73-nucleotide transfer RNA is filed under the name Pipistrellus abramus. RNAcentral's name for it is "tRNA-Asn". It matches the Rfam family "tRNA". Rfam says of the family: Transfer RNA (tRNA) molecules are approximately 80 nucleotides in length. Their secondary structure includes four short double-helical elements and three loops (D, anti-codon, and T loops). The record is from RNAcentral. Lineage: Eukaryota; Metazoa; Chordata; Mammalia; Chiroptera; Vespertilionidae.